AGUGAACGCUGGCGGUAGGCCUAACACAUGCAAGUCGAACGGCAGCACAGUAAGAGCUUGCUCUUACGGGUGGCGAGUGGCGGACGGGUGAGGAAUACAUCGGAAUCUACUUUUUCGUGGGGGAUAACGUAGGGAAACUUACGCUAAUACCGCAUACGACCUACGGGUGAAAGCCGGGGAUCUUCGGACCUUGCGCGAUUGAAUGAGCCGAUGUCGGAUUAGCUAGUUGGCGGGGUAAAGGCCCACCAAGGCGACGAUCCGUAGCUGGUCUGAGAGGGUGAUCAGCCACACUGGAACUGAGACACGGUCCAGACUCCUACGGGAGGCAGCAGUGGGGAAUAUUGGACAAUGGGCGCAAGCCUGAUCCAGCCAUACCGCGUGGGUGAAGAAGGCCUUCGGGUUGUAAAGCCCUUUUGUUGGGAAAGAAAAGCAGCAGGUUAAUACCCCGCUGUUCUGACGGUACCCAAAGAAUAAGCACCGGCUAACUUCGUG
Molecule: ribosomal RNA, 492 nt
Filed under: uncultured bacterium
Lineage: Bacteria
Description: partial 16S ribosomal RNA
Rfam family: Bacterial small subunit ribosomal RNA
Source: RNAcentral